GACGAUGUCUCUUCCCAGAUGACUCGAUUAGAGGAUCGUAUGACUCGUUUGGAGGACAUCAUCACGCGUUCAUAUCCAGCCUCCGUCGCUCAGGUUGUAAAACCACUUUUAAUUUAUUACUUACAUAAAAUGUCUACAGUGUUAUUAUUCUGACAACUAUUAUUACAUUCGCACAGGAGAGAGACGAGGAUAUCCCACCGACAUCCCCUGUUGAUACCGCAAUACCAUCCCGUCACCCACACGAGGGUAGUGGCCCGGAGGACGCACCGGUUAGUCCUUCUGUUGCAUCGAUCGAGGGUUCUCCCCGAACACCUUCCCCGGAAGUUCAGGACGAGCGAUUAUGGUUACUUGCUGAUAUCCCGAG
Mangifera indica (mango) is the source of this 364-nucleotide long non-coding RNA. RefSeq lists it as uncharacterized. NCBI's taxonomy places the organism in Eukaryota, Viridiplantae, Streptophyta, Magnoliopsida, Sapindales, Anacardiaceae. The record is from RefSeq and is a predicted model, not a curated record. The transcript is spliced from 3 exons.